CGGUAAUACCAGCUCUCCGAGUGGUGUGGACGUUUAUUGGGCCUAAAGCAUCCGUAGCUGGCUGAACAAGUCCCCUGUUAAACCCACCGAUUUAAUCGUUGGCGUGCGGGGGAUACUGCUCGGCUAGGGGACGAGAGAGGCAGACGGUAUUCCCGGGGUAGGGGUGAAAUCCUAUAAUCCCGAGAGGACCACCAGUGGCGAAGGCUGUCGG
This 211-nucleotide ribosomal RNA is filed under the name uncultured crenarchaeote. Its description in RNAcentral is "partial 16S ribosomal RNA". It matches the Rfam family "Archaeal small subunit ribosomal RNA", at positions 468 to 679 of the family's 1478-position model. Lineage: Archaea; Thermoproteati; Thermoproteota. The record is from RNAcentral.